This is a long non-coding RNA of Gossypium raimondii (Peruvian cotton), 719 nucleotides long. RefSeq lists it as uncharacterized. The record is from RefSeq and is a predicted model, not a curated record. Lineage: Eukaryota; Viridiplantae; Streptophyta; Magnoliopsida; Malvales; Malvaceae. The transcript has 2 exons.
CCUGGAGCACACAUGGAAAAAUAUUUGUUACGUGCUUCCUUAACAGCAAUUCGAAGUAAUACAAUAAAAGAGAAGGGGAGACAGGACAGAAAGUAAACAGAGAUUAUGUAUAUGCAUGUCCGAUUUUUUUUAUUAUUUGAAAUUCACUCUUGUUUAGUAGUCACAUUGAGUCUGAUCAAAUCUGAAAUCAAGCCGGGCUUCUAAAUAGGAGCUCAGGAGCACAAUCAAUAAUAGGCACUCGAAACAUGAAAUACCUUGGGGUCCAACUGACUGAGAGGGUGGGGGAAGCCAGACAUGAGUAACACCAGCAUUAGCGAUAUCAGGGAUGGAGUUCUUGAGAGACUUAUACCAUCCUCCAGCCUUAUUACACGACUCCCAGUUGAAACCCUACAUGUCAUCAUCAAUUAGUCGCAGAGUUGCAGAUAAAUCGUGAGGGUAGAUGAAAUAACAAAGUGCAAGCUAUACCUGGAAUAGCAAGCUUGGAGAUGUCAAAGAUGGAAAGAUAUAGAGGAAAAGAGAAAGGAAGCCAAGUGAAGUUACACAACUCAUUCUCUGUAUUUUUAUAUAUAUGUUUCGUUCUCUCAGCCUCAUGAGACGAGCUUGGUGAAAGGUGAUAUGCUUCUGGCUAUAUAUAGGCACCAAUUCCUGUUUCAAGAUGACACAAUGCACAUAUGGUUCAUUGUGAACACUGAAACUGAGGAAAUGUUUCUUUGCUUCAA